This 148-nucleotide non-coding RNA is filed under the name Nomascus leucogenys (northern white-cheeked gibbon). Lineage: Eukaryota; Metazoa; Chordata; Mammalia; Primates; Hylobatidae. The record is from Rfam by way of RNAcentral.
GCCAGGCAUGGUCGUGGGUGCCUGUAAUCCCAGCUACUUGGGAGGCUGAGGCAGGAGAAUUGCUUGAACCCAGGAGAUGGAAGUUGCAGUGAGCCAACACUGUGCCACUGCACUCCAGCCUGGGUGACAGAGUGAGACUCUGUCUCAA